This 492-nucleotide ribosomal RNA is filed under the name uncultured bacterium. RNAcentral describes it as "partial 16S ribosomal RNA". It matches the Rfam family "Bacterial small subunit ribosomal RNA", at positions 29 to 507 of the family's 1533-position model. The record is from RNAcentral.
AGUGAACGCUGGCGGUAGGCCUAACACAUGCAAGUCGAACGGCAGCACAGUAAGAGCUUGCUCUUACGGGUGGCGAGUGGCGGACGGGUGAGGAAUACAUCGGAAUCUACUUUUUCGUGGGGGAUAACGUAGGUAAACUUACGCUAAUACCGCAUACGCCCUACGGUUGAAAGCAGGGGAUCUUCGCACCUUGCGCGAUUGAAUGAGCCGAUGUCGGAUUAGCUAGUUGGCGGGGUAAAGGCCCACCAAGGCGACGAUCCGUAGCUGGUCUGAGAGGAUGAUCAGCCACACUGGAACUGAGACACGGUCCAGACUCCUACGGGAGGCAGCAGUGGGGAAUAUUGGACAAUGGGCGCAAGCCUGAUCCAGCCAUACCGCGUGGGUGAAGAAGGCCUUCGGGUUGUAAAGCCCUUUUGUUGGGAAAGAAAAGCAGCAGGUUAAUACCCCGCUGUUCUGACGGUACCCAAAGAAUAAGCACCGGCUAACUUCGUG